AGCAGUCGCCGCGGUAAGACAGAGGAUGCAAGCGUUAUCCGGAAUGAUUGGGCGUAAAGCGUCUGUAGGUGGCUUUUCAAGUCCGCCAUCAAAUCCCAGGGCUCAACCCUGGAUAGGCGGUGGACACUACCAAGCUGGAGUACGGUAGGGGCAAAGGGAAUUUCCGGUGGAGCGGUGAAAUGCGUUGAGAUCGGGAAGAACACCAACGGCGAAAGAACUCUGCUGGUCCGACACUGACACUGACAGACGAAAGCUAGGGGAGCAAAUGGGAUUAGAUACCCGGGUAGUCCCUGUCUCUUAUAC
This 303-nucleotide ribosomal RNA is filed under the name uncultured bacterium. Its description in RNAcentral is "partial 16S ribosomal RNA". It matches the Rfam family "Bacterial small subunit ribosomal RNA", at positions 507 to 807 of the family's 1533-position model. The record is from RNAcentral.